GAUGAACGCUGGCGGCGUGCUUAACACAUGCAAGUCGAACGAAGCACUUUAUUUGAUUUCCUUCGGGACUGAUUAUUUUGUGACUGAGUGGCGGACGGGUGAGUAACGCGUGGGUAACCUGCCUUGUACAGGGGGAUAACAGUUGGAAACGGCUGCUAAUACCGCAUAAGCGCACAGCAUCGCAUGAUGCAGUGUGAAAAACUCCGGUGGUAUAAGAUGGACCCGCGUUGGAUUAGCUAGUUGGUGAGGUAACGGCCCACCAAGGCGACGAUCCAUAGCCGACCUGAGAGGGUGACCGGCCACAUUGGGACUGAGACACGGCCCAAACUCCUACGGGAGGCAGCAGUGGGGAAUAUUGCACAAUGGGCGAAAGCCUGAUGCAGCGACGCCGCGUGAGCGAAGAAGUAUUUCGGUAUGUAAAGCUCUAUCAGCAGGGAAGAUAAUGACGGCACCUGACGAAGAAGCACCGGCUAAAUACGUG
This 481-nucleotide ribosomal RNA is filed under the name uncultured bacterium. Its description in RNAcentral is "partial 16S ribosomal RNA". It matches the Rfam family "Bacterial small subunit ribosomal RNA", at positions 28 to 507 of the family's 1533-position model. The record is from RNAcentral.